RNAcentral lists this small nuclear RNA (282 nucleotides) under Sorex araneus (European shrew). Its description in RNAcentral is "7SK RNA (ENSSARG00000019214.1)". It matches the Rfam family "7SK RNA". Rfam says of the family: 7SK was discovered as an abundant small nuclear RNA in the mid-70s but a possible function has only recently been suggested. Two independent studies have found that 7SK RNA binds the CDK9/cyclin T complex (known as elongation factor P-TEFb). The record is from RNAcentral. Lineage: Eukaryota; Metazoa; Chordata; Mammalia; Eulipotyphla; Soricidae.
UAGUGCUAGGAACAAGAUGGCUAGCAUAUGCCACUGUAUUGAUUUGACUGAUCUGCUUGACUGGGUUGGUGGUCCUUUUCUUCCUCCCUGCCCCAUGUGUGUGUCACCUCAAUCCUGAAGUUGCAUGCUAGGUAGGAAAGGGUCGCCUUCCCAGGAUAGAGACAAACUGAUGUGGGUAAAGGGUAUAUGAAUGGUAGCGUUCCCCUACAUGGACCUUCAAACGUGUUCUCAAUUUCCAUUUUAAUUUAAUUAUUUUAUUUUUAAUAAAAUAAAAGAUUUAUU